This 256-nucleotide ribosomal RNA is filed under the name uncultured bacterium. RNAcentral's name for it is "partial 16S ribosomal RNA". It matches the Rfam family "Bacterial small subunit ribosomal RNA", at positions 524 to 782 of the family's 1533-position model. The record is from RNAcentral.
UACGGGGGGGCAAGCGUUGUUCGGAAUUACUGGGCGUAAAGGGCUCGUAGGUGGCCAACUAAGUCAGACGUGAAAUCCCUCGGCUUAACCGGGGAACUGCGUCUGAUACUGGAUGGCUUGAGUUUGGGAGAGGGACGCGGAAUUCCAGGUGUAGCGGUGAAAUGCGUAGAUAUCAGGAAGAACACCAAUGGCGAAGCAGCUCUCGUGGGACGGUACUGACGCUGAGACGCGAAAGCGUGGGAGCGAACAGGAUAGA